Molecule: ribosomal RNA, 484 nt
Filed under: uncultured bacterium
Lineage: Bacteria
Description: partial 16S ribosomal RNA
Rfam family: Bacterial small subunit ribosomal RNA
Source: RNAcentral
GGGGGGGGGGGGGGGCGGGCCGGGCACGUGCGGGGCGGGCGGGUGAAGGGAGCGUGCUCCUGGAUUCAGCGGCGGCCGGGUGAGUAAUGCCUCGGAAUCUGCCUGGUAGUGGGGGAUAACGUCCGGCAACGGGCGCUCAUACCGCCUACGUCCUGGGGGAGCGAGUGGGGGAUCUUCGGACCUCACGCUAUCAGAUGAGCCUAGGUCGGAUUAGCUAGUUGGUGGGGUAAAGGCCUACCAAGGCGACGAUCCUUCACUGGUCUGAGAGGAUGAUCAGUCACACUGGAACUGAGACACGGUCCAGACUCCUACGGGAGGCAGCAGUGGGGAAUAUUGGACAAUGGGCGAAAGCCUGAUCCAGCCAUGCCGCGUGUGUGAAGAAGGUCUUCGGAUUGUAAAGCACUUUAAGUUGGGAGGAAGGGCAGUAAGUUAAUACCUUGCUGUUUUGACGUUACCAACAGAAUAAGCACCGGCUAACUUCGUG